CCUACGGGAGGCUGCAGUGAGGAAUAUUGGUCAAUGGACGCAAGUCUGAACCAGCCAUGCCGCGUGCAGGAAGACGGCUCUAUGAAUUGUAAACUGCUUUUGUACGAGGGUAAACUCAGAUACGCGUAUCUGUCUGCACGUAUCUUACGAAUAAGGAUCGGCUAACUCCGUGCCAGCAGCCGCGGUAAUACGGAGGAUUCAAGCGUUAUCCGGAUUUAUUGGGUUUAAAGGGUGCGUAGGCGGAAGGUUAAGUCAGCGGUCAAAUGUCGGGGCUCAACACCGGCCUGCCGUUGAAACUGGUCGUCUUGAGUGAGCGAGAAGUAUGCGGAAUGCGUGGUGUAGCGGUGAAAUGCAUAGAUAUCACGCAGAACUCCGAUUGCGAAGGCAGCAUACCGGAGCGCAACUGACGCUGAGGCACGAAAGCGUGGGGAUCGAACAGGAUUAGAUACCCGUGUAGUC
Molecule: ribosomal RNA, 459 nt
Filed under: uncultured bacterium
Lineage: Bacteria
Description: partial 16S ribosomal RNA
Rfam family: Bacterial small subunit ribosomal RNA
Source: RNAcentral